CAGUAGCCGCGGGAAUACAGAGGGUGCAAGCGUUAAUCGGAUUUACUGGGCGUAAAGGGCGCGUAGGUGGUUAUGUAAGUGAGAUGUGAAAUCCCCGGGCUCAACCUGGGAACUGCAUCUUAUACUGCGUAGCUGGAGUGCAGUAGAGGGUAGUGGAAUUCCGCGUGUAGCAGUGAAAUGCGUAGAUAUGCGGAGGAACACCGAUGGCGAAGGCAAUCCCCUGGGCCUGCACUGACGCUCAUGCACGAAAGCGUGGGGAGCAAACAGGAUUAGAUACCCCCGUAGUCCCUGUCUCUUAUAA
RNAcentral lists this ribosomal RNA (301 nucleotides) under uncultured bacterium. RNAcentral describes it as "partial 16S ribosomal RNA". It matches the Rfam family "Bacterial small subunit ribosomal RNA", at positions 509 to 809 of the family's 1533-position model. The record is from RNAcentral.